UGGGGAACGCUGAGCCCUCCAGGGGAGGGGACUUUCUACAGUGCUGCAGGGAUGGGAGGAGACCAGGUCUGUGGUUGUUUGCUGGGCGAAAGCUGUUUUCACUUUUGGUUCCUUCUGGUGUGUGUCUGGGUGGGGAGUAGGGGACUGGGAGCCCGACUUUUGCCCCCAGCAGGGCAGAGUCCCCAGAAGCUGCGUCAAGGUUUAGAGAUACUUUAUACUCUACUGUUUCACGGGCGAACUUUGAUGUUCAAGUCAGUUUGCAGAUGAGUGGUAGGCCUGCCGAGGUUGGCCAGACGUGCAGACAGCGAGGCCGCAGUGGCUCCCGGUGCCAGGCCUGGGCAGGGCUGUGUUUCUGGGCUAAGGCUGGUGUGAGCGCCGUCAGGCCCAGCUGGCUGGUUCUGGUGUGUCGGGCCCCGGGGGCGCGUGGGUGGGCUUUCGCUGCCGGGUGCCGGGCCGACCCAGCCAGCUGCGGCAGUCGCUGGUCUGGGCGUCAGAGCAGUUGGUUGUUGUCCUUUACUGGGAGCUUGAAGCCCCGGCUAUGACAGCGCCAGGGCCAGACUCUUCGAGGCCCCAGCCUGGGCAGGCAGGAAGCAAGACUGACUCUGGGUCCGGCAGCUUGAGGGCAGUUGCUGUUUUUCUUCCUCUGAUUUUGCCUGGAGUUUGGGGUUCUGCUGGUCCCCCAGCCUCCCCCCACCCACGCCGUGCCUCUCGGAGGGAGAGAGGGAGGACCCUCCGAGUCUACCUCACCCCUUCGGUCUCUGCCCUGUGACCACGCCCCAAGCCCAGGUGUGCCUCACUGGCCCGGUAUCUGGCGUGGCCUCAGUGAGGGGGAGACUGAGGUUAAGAGGAGAGGGUCCUGGGGGACAGCAGCCUAGACCUCCUGACCCCAGGCAGCAGGCCAGCCCCCUCCUCUGACUCCCUGCACGCUCCCCAGGCCAAGCCCUGAACUGGGUGCCAAGGACAGGCUGGUGAACAGGAGAUGUGGGCCCGCUCCACCUCGGCCCCCACCCCUCAAAGGGCUCACCUCCCAGCAGAAAAUCUCUGGCUUGAGGGGUGGGCGGGCAAGGGCCACCAUCUAAGUGUUGAGGCUUUUACCUUCACAGCAGCCAGAUGACCCCCCGGGGCUCCAAGAUGCUGAGCCACUUCCCUGGGCUCGCGGCCUGCAAGCGGCAGACCCAGGUUUGGCCCAGGCCUGUGGCCUCGGUCUCCCGUGGGCUCCCAACUCCCCUAAGCCCCCUGCCCCUGACCUGGACCUUCGUGCCCAGCCCCGUGAGAUGAACUCAGGAACUGCCCCCUUGCCCGCCGGAAAGAUAAAUUAGACGGCAUGUUCAGAGCGCGUAGACGAGCCGUGCCCCAGGCCGUGGGUGGGCUGGGUCCGGCACUUGGCCUGUGAGGUCUUUGUUUCCUAGUUUAAGGAUAUGGAAGAAUCAACUUUGGGGUGCCUCCUAAGGUGUGUGCGUGCUCACCUCCCCGAGGCCACACGGGCCUACACAGAUCUGAGUGUGGGACACACCCAGGGAGUGUUUGCCGAGUGGGGCGUGGAGGUCGGGGGCGGUUCACACCAGCCCCUCCGGCUCUCCACUCUCUCCCUCGAGCAGAUCCCAGAGGGCUCCUCUGACUUGCCACAGGGUUCCUGCCUGUCACUCAGGGAGGGGGGCCCCACUGCUCGCCCGGUGGCUGGUCCUGGCAUGGCCAGGCUCGCUGUGAAAACCCCAAGAUCCUCCGAGACCUGAGACAAGAGCCCAGUCCACGUGGCUGGUCACCCAGACUUGCCCCCACGCCGGUGCCUCCCUCUCUCGUGCGUGAGCUGAACUGACGCCCCAGGAGGGGCCUCUCCAGGGAGAACGUAUCCAUUUUUCAAAUAACUACAAACGUCCUAGAAGCUUGCCGCCGAGAGCAUAGGAGGGGGACAGUAGCAAACGUGCCUCCGCCCCCAACAGGAACCCAGCAGGAACCCGUGUCGUUUUUACCCCCUGCCUCCCGCGUGCAUCCUCGGACUUACGCUGUGGGAGUAGGGUCACACCUUUGACCCGAGGCUUCCGUCAGUGUAGACGAGCAGGGAGGAUCGAGGUGGUUCCACUGACCCCGAUGCGCCUGUGCCUAUGGCCAGGUGGAUUCCACGCGCCACUCAGCCAGGCCUGGCCCAUGAACAUCGGAGCCAGGCGGCCAAGGUCAGCGGACGGCAGGCCUGUUAGCCCACAGCCAGCUCUGGCACCAGCUCUGGAAAGCGGCCAGUGCCCCUAGGGCCCGGUGUCCUCCGCUGCUCACCGACCUGGGUGUCCCUUCCUACACAGCCCCGCCUCACAGGCUCUGGUCCCUGUCACAACUUGCCCUGAGCAGCGAGGGACACUGGCCCAUUGUCAGGCUAAGUGUCCUCACGCUCCUCUUCCAAAAGCGUCCAGAGGCCCGUUUGAAAUGGGUUUGUCUUUGCUGCUCUCCAAUCUGCAGUUUUUACUUUCCAAAGCACGUCCCCAUGUGAGCUGGCCACCCCCCUCCACCCACC
This is a non-coding RNA of Vicugna pacos (alpaca), 2503 nucleotides long. NCBI's taxonomy places the organism in Eukaryota, Metazoa, Chordata, Mammalia, Artiodactyla, Camelidae. The record is from RefSeq and is a predicted model, not a curated record.